ACUCCUGCGGGAGGCAGCAGUGGGGAAUUUUGGACAAUGGGCGAAAGCCUGAUCCAGCAAUGCCGCGUGAGUGAAGAAGGCCUUCGGGUUGUAAAGCUCUUUUGUCAGGGAAGAAACGGUGAAAGCUAAUAUCUUUUGCUAAUGACGGUACCUGAAGAAUAAGCACCGGCUAACUACGUGCCAGCAGCCGCGGUAAUACGUAGGGUGCAAGCGUUAAUCGGAAUUACUGGGCGUAAAGCGUGCGCAGGCGGUUUUGUAAGUCUGAUGUGAAAUCCCCGGGCUCAACCUGGGAAUUGCAUUGGAGACUGCAAGGCUAGAAUCUGGCAGAGGGGGGUAGAAUUCCACGUGUAGCAGUGAAAUGCGUAGAUAUGUGGAGGAACACCGAUGGCGAAGGCAGCCCCCUGGGUCAAGAUUGACGCUCAUGCACGAAAGCGUGGGGAGCAAACAGGAUUAGAUACCCCAGUAGUCCCA
This 471-nucleotide ribosomal RNA is filed under the name uncultured organism. RNAcentral describes it as "partial 16S ribosomal RNA". It matches the Rfam family "Bacterial small subunit ribosomal RNA", at positions 335 to 797 of the family's 1533-position model. The record is from RNAcentral.